RNAcentral lists this ribosomal RNA (233 nucleotides) under Clavispora lusitaniae. Its description in RNAcentral is "partial 26S ribosomal RNA". It matches the Rfam family "Eukaryotic large subunit ribosomal RNA", at positions 71 to 317 of the family's 3401-position model. The record is from RNAcentral. Lineage: Eukaryota; Fungi; Ascomycota; Pichiomycetes; Serinales; Metschnikowiaceae.
GCGAAUGCCCCAGUAACGGCGAGUGAGCGGCAAAGCUCAAAUUUGAAUCCUGCGGGAAUUGUAAUUUGAAGGUUUCGUGGUCUGAGUCGGCCGCGCCCAAGUCCAUUGGAACAUGGCGCCUGGGAGGGUGAGAGCCCCGUCCGGCGCACGCCGACUCUUUGCACCGCGGCUCCGACGAGUCGAGUUGUUUGGGAAUGCAGCUCUAAGUGGGUGGUAAAAUUCCAUCUAAAGCU